UACAGAGGCCUCGAGCGUUAGGCGGAAUCACUGGGCUUAAAGCGUGUGUAGGCGGACUUCUAAGUACCUUGUGAAAUCCCACGGCUCACCCGUGGAACUGCUUGGUAUACUGGUUGUCUUGAGCCUUCUAGGGGCGAGUGGAACAAAUGGUGGAGCGGUGAAAUGCGUAGAUAUCAUUUGGAACGCCAAUGGUGAAAACAGGUAGCUGGGGAUGUGCUGACGCUGAGACACGAAAGCCAGGGGAGCAAACGGG
This 253-nucleotide ribosomal RNA is filed under the name uncultured bacterium. RNAcentral's name for it is "partial 16S ribosomal RNA". It matches the Rfam family "Bacterial small subunit ribosomal RNA", at positions 524 to 776 of the family's 1533-position model. The record is from RNAcentral.